This is a non-coding RNA of Bos taurus (domestic cattle), 72 nucleotides long. Lineage: Eukaryota; Metazoa; Chordata; Mammalia; Artiodactyla; Bovidae. The record is from Rfam.
UCCCUGGUAGCUUAGACGGUAAAGAAUCUGCUUCCAAUGCAGGAAACCUGGGCUCGAUCCCUGGGUAGGGAA